AGCGGCGGACGGGUGCGUAACACGUGGGUAACCUGCCCCUAUCACUGGGAUAACACACUGAAAAGUGUGCUAAUACCAGAUAACAUAAGCUUUUGGCAUCAUUAGCUUAUCAAAGAAUUUCGGAUAGGGAUGGGCCCGCGUCUGAUUAGCUAGUUGGUGAGGUAACGGCUCACCAAGGCAACGAUCAGUAGCCGACCUGAGAGGGUGAUCGGCCACACUGGAACUGAGACACGGUCCAGACUCCUACGGGAGGCAGCAGUGGGGAAUAUUGCACAAUGGGCGCAAGCCUGAUGCAGCCAUGCCGCGUGUAUGAAGAAGGCCUUCGGGUUGUAAAGUACUUUCAGCGGGGAGGAAGGUGUUGUGGUUAAUAACCGCAGCAAUUGACGUUACCCGCAGAAGAAGCACCGGCUAACUCCGUGCCAGCAGCCGCGGUAAUACGGAGGGUGCAAGCGUUAAUCGGAAUUACUGGGCGUAAAGCGCACGCAGGCGGUCUGUCAAGUCGGAUGUGAAAUCCCCGGGCUCAACCUGGGAACUGCAUUCGAAACUGGCAGGCUUGAGUCUCGUAGAGGGGGGUAGAAUUCCAGGUGUAGCGGUGAAAUGCGUAGAGAUCUGGAGGAAUACCGGUGGCGAAGGCGGCCCCCUGGACGAAGACUGACGCUCAGGUGCGAAAGCGUGGGGAGCAAACAGGAUUAGAUACCCUGGUAGUCCACGCCGUAAACGAUGUCUAUUUGGAGGUUGUUCCCCUGAGGAGUGGCUUCCGGAGCUAACGCGUUAAAUAGACCGCCUGGGGAGUACGGCCGCAAGGUUAAAACUCAAAUGAAUUGACGGGGGCCCGCACAAGCGGUGGAGCGUGUGGUUUAAUUCGAUGCAACGCGAAGAACCUUACCUGGUCUUGACAUCCACAGAACCUUGUAGAGAUACGAGGGUGCCUUCGGGAACUGUGAGACAGGUGCUGCAUGGCUGUCGUCAGCUCGUGUUGUGAAAUGUUGGGUUAAGUCCCGCAACGAGCGCAACCCUUAUCCUUUGUUGCCAGCGGUCCGGCCGGGAACUCAAAGGAGACUGCCAGUGAUAAACUGGAGGAAGGUGGGGAUGACGUCAAGUCAUCAUGGCCCUUACGACCAGGGCUACACACGUGCUACAAUGGCAUAUACAAAGAGAAGCGACCUCGCGAGAGUAAGCGGACCUCAUAAAGUAUGUCGUAGUCCGGAUUGGAGUCUGCAACUCGACUCCAUGAAGUCGGAAUCGCUAGUAAUCGUGGAUCAGAAUGCCACGGUGAAUACGUUCCCGGGCCUUGUACACACCGCCCGUCACACCAUGGGAGUGGGUUGCAAAAGAAGUAGGUAGCUUAACCUUCGGGAGGGCGCUUACCACUUUGUGAUUCAUGACUGGGGUG
RNAcentral lists this ribosomal RNA (1393 nucleotides) under uncultured bacterium. RNAcentral's name for it is "partial 16S ribosomal RNA". It matches the Rfam family "Bacterial small subunit ribosomal RNA". The record is from RNAcentral.